Molecule: ribosomal RNA, 493 nt
Filed under: Pristimantis myersi
Lineage: Eukaryota; Metazoa; Chordata; Amphibia; Anura; Strabomantidae
Description: partial large subunit ribosomal RNA
Rfam family: Bacterial large subunit ribosomal RNA
Source: RNAcentral
UUCAACGGCCGCGGUAUCCUAACCGUGCAAAGGUAGCGUAAUCACUUGUCUUCUAAAUAAAGACCAGUAUGAAAGGCAUCACGAGGACUAAACUGUCUCCUCUCCCCAAUCAGUGAACCUAAUAACCCCGUGAAGAAGCGGGGAUUUUUAUAUAAGACGAGAAGACCCUAUGGAGCUUAAAACAUCAUAACACCUGCCACACCACCUAUCUACCCCGGGUUCCCCCCCCCCCGUGACACCCUGAUUAUAUGUUUUUGGUUGGGGUGACCGCGGAGAAAAACCCAUCCUCCACAAUGAAGGGGACUUCCCUAAACAGUAAGCCACAACUUUAUGCAUCAGUAAACUGACAUCAUUGACCCAAUAUAUUUGAUUAACGAACCAAGUUACCCUAGGGAUAACAGCGCAAUCCACUUCGAGAGCCCCUAUCGACAAGUGGGCUUACGACCUCGAUGUUGGAUCGGGGUAUCCUAGUGGUGCAGCCGCUACUAAAGGU